Long non-coding RNA from Patiria miniata (bat star), 1447 nucleotides. RefSeq lists it as uncharacterized. NCBI's taxonomy places the organism in Eukaryota, Metazoa, Echinodermata, Asteroidea, Valvatida, Asterinidae. The transcript has 3 exons. The record is from RefSeq and is a predicted model, not a curated record.
AAGAAAUCUCAACAAAAGCCGUGUUAAAGAAUAAAGAUGUCUGCCAGCUUGUUGUGUUUCGUGUGUUGAUGAAUGGCAUGGUGUGCAAGUUCGUGUGCAUUCUGUAGAUUUCACAGAAUUAUUGAUCGCUUCUGAGUUUUUGAUUCAUAUCAAACGCACCAUAUCAUCGGAAAUAAGGCUUGCAAAGUUAUGCGUUGUGAGUUUUGGCUUCUUGACCUGCGGGAUCCGUGGCUGUAAAUAUUGUUUCACACAGGCAUUACAGUCAAGAUGCAGAACUCUGCACCAAGGAUGCCUGGUAUGGGACCAUCUGACAAAGAAUUGAAUGACUUAUUGGAUUUCAGUGCUAUGUUUUCCCCUCCAACUGGUGCCGGUGGUAAGCCAGGAGGUAAUACUGUACCCAUGAGCCACUGUGGUCCAGGAACAGUCAGACCAGUGCGACCUACAGGACCAGUACGGUCAGCAGGACCAGGUAUACCUCCAAGUCCAACUGGGCCAGCAGGUCAACCAUCUAACUAUAAACCUGGUGAGAAAUAUAUCCAUUUGUGACAUCUUUUAUCCCAUUUUUGCCAAUGCAUAAACUACAGUGAUGCUUUGGUCUUGACGCUCGCGAAAGGUGCAGUUUACACUGUAAAGCUAUGCCCUUCAGUCAACAUCCAGGAUUGAAUUUUGGGGUUGGUUUCUUUUAUGGGUACAUUUUACCUCAAUAGGGUACGCGAUUCGCUGCUACCCAGUUCCCUGAUACCCGUAAAUGCACACCACUAGAUGGGUACCCACUAACUUAGUAAUUAAGGUGGCCAAUUCAAAUUUAUAAUUCUUAGUACAGGUAGUUUUUAAAUCUGAUACGAGUACACAGUAGAACAUUUCCCAUGGUUUCUUUGGAAAUCAUUUUUAAGCUAACAGUGCGAAACAUUUCCGUGGUGUGAAAUUGCAAUUCAGUGGAUCAUAAGCAAAGGAUUAACCAUCAUUGCAUGCUGUGCUGCUGUUUCAAUCAUUGUAACUGCAAAUUCUGUUCGCAAGGCUAAAAUGACGCAAGUGGUAAACCAUAUUCUGUGAGAGGGGGGGGGGGAGGAUUCUACAAUUGGUGCCUUUUGAAGGCCAAGCACAAUGAUUGAGGAAACAUGGCCCAUUUCUAAAUCAUGGGGAUAACUGGGGGAUAAGUUUUUUGGAGAAAAUAUGAAAACAAAUUAAGUGCAAAUUUAAGGAGCACUUUCUAGGGAAAGCAUCCUUUUGGAGUUGAGAAACACUUUUGCCACAAAGUGAUAAUGGUUGGAAAUUUGCAAUUUUCUUGUAAUUACCAAUAGAAGGGAUUUCAGGUUGCAAAAGUUAGGUCCUCAAAUUCCAACUGUAGGAAUGCUGGAAGUCAUUCUAGUCACAGUUUAUUUUCAAAACGUUCUUUAAUGCUGUUUUGCACCCAUCAAGACUACCUUGACCGUCCGAUUGUACUUGU